CCAACUUCCUGUGCUGUAGACCGUCGCUGAAGACUGUCAGUUUCCUUGUCACACAGACAUGAAAAAAGUUUAAGUCUCUGCGACUGUCGCAAUGUCUGUUGUCGAGGUUACCGGACUACCACAGCAACCAGAACAAUUUCUCCUGCGACAAAUGGCCUAUGAAGAGGUCCAUUAACACUUGCAGGAAAGAGACGCUGAAAUGGGUUUUAAAUGCUACAAGAUGGAGAGCAAUCUUUUUCCACAUGCAAGGACAAAGUUAACGUGG
RNAcentral lists this long non-coding RNA (265 nucleotides) under Salmo salar (Atlantic salmon). Its description in RNAcentral is "lncRNA (ENSSSAG00000103726.1)". Lineage: Eukaryota; Metazoa; Chordata; Actinopteri; Salmoniformes; Salmonidae. The record is from RNAcentral.